Molecule: non-coding RNA, 26 nt
Filed under: Mus musculus (house mouse)
Lineage: Eukaryota; Metazoa; Chordata; Mammalia; Rodentia; Muridae
Source: RNAcentral
UGCCAAGUGUAUGAGUGAGAAUAGAG